RNAcentral lists this ribosomal RNA (468 nucleotides) under uncultured Halomonas sp. RNAcentral describes it as "bacterial SSU rRNA". It matches the Rfam family "Bacterial small subunit ribosomal RNA", at positions 337 to 797 of the family's 1533-position model. Lineage: Bacteria; Pseudomonadati; Pseudomonadota; Gammaproteobacteria; Oceanospirillales; Halomonadaceae. The record is from RNAcentral.
UCCUACGGGAGGCAGCAGUGGGGAAUAUUGGACAAUGGGGGGAACCCUGAUCCAGCCAUGCCGCGUGUGUGAAGAAGGCCCUCGGGUUGUAAAGCACUUUCAGUGAGGAAGAACGCCUGGUGGUUAAUACCCAUCAGGAAAGACAUCACUCACAGAAGAAGCACCGGCUAACUCCGUGCCAGCAGCCGCGGUAAUACGGAGGGUGCGAGCGUUAAUCGGAAUUACUGGGCGUAAAGCGCGCGUAGGUGGCUUGAUAAGCCGGUUGUGAAAGCCCCGGGCUCAACCUGGGAACGGCAUCCGGAACUGUCAAGCUAGAGUGCAGGAGAGGAAGGUAGAAUUCCCGGUGUAGCGGUGAAAUGCGUAGAGAUCGGGAGGAAUACCAGUGGCGAAGGCGGCCUUCUGGACUGACACUGACGCUCAGGUGCGAAAGCGUGGGGAGCAAACAGGAUUAGAUACCCUGGUAGUCCA